Molecule: long non-coding RNA, 1066 nt
Organism: Coffea eugenioides
Lineage: Eukaryota; Viridiplantae; Streptophyta; Magnoliopsida; Gentianales; Rubiaceae
Exons: 2
Source: RefSeq, a predicted model, not a curated record
GCAGAUUAUACUGUACUCCUGCUGCUACUAUUUAAGUGUCCCCUUUCAGUGGAGGCAGGAGCGGCGAAGGAAGGAAGAAUCUGGUGGUGGUGGUGGUGCAGACUGCAGACAGGCAAAAGGAAGGAGGAGAGAUCAUCAACCAAAACAAAAAUAAAAGAUGGCGGGGGGAAUAGUGAGCAAAGUAGGUGACUGGGGGUUCAAGGCGUUCACGGCAGGACUAGGAGUUACUACCCUAUACCUAGCCGCUACUUUCUCCGUCAACGUCUACCGUGGCCUCUCUUGGCAUUCUGCCCAAUCGAAAAUUGAGAACGAGGGUGCUAAGGAUCAGAAGCCAGAAUGAAUGUUACUGAAGUUCUUAAGAGUUUUGAUCAACUGCUAAUUUGUGGGCGGAUACACUAAAUUUUGACGAGACAGUUAAGACUUACUAUUCUCUUGUUACACUGUGACCUCAUUAGACAAUCAAUAAUAUUGCUAAGCAUGGUCUCCUCAUGUUGUUAGAGAUACUUUCUUCGACUUUGCAUUGAUCAACUCCUUGCGGAUUAAUGACUAGUGGCCUGUUCUGGAAUUGGGCAAACUGAAGGCCUCAGAGCGGUAAUAUAUUGUCUGAUACUUUUUGAUCCAAUGAAUAGAGGAACUUGCUGUUUGUAUAUCAGCGUUCUUGAGUCGUCUUGUGAUAGUUUCUAGGUGUUGUGCUCGUCUUUGAUAGUUCAUUAGGGAUUUGGAUCUCUCUUUGUCCGUGGUCGCGGAAAACGAUCCGGUUGCUGAAUUUAUUUUUGUAAUGGGGAAACUGUUCUUAAAUUGUUGGCCGGGAUUCGAACUUAUCCAGCUUUGCUCUUUCGUCUUUUCGGAGGGGAACACUAAAUUCUUUCUUACGAAGAAUUUGCUCCAGGGCACGGGCAUUUCUUUCUUACGAAGAUCUCGAAGCAGUUUUGGGGCUGUUAAGUGGACCCAUGUGCCCAUUUCUGAGAGAGUUUCUUCAGCAUUGUCUGCACGCAUAUUCUUUUUGGUCAUUUUGUAACCCGGGUACAUACAGAAUCAAUUAAUGUACACUACAUUUCCCCUCGCA